This 619-nucleotide long non-coding RNA is filed under the name Pan troglodytes (chimpanzee). RNAcentral's name for it is "long non-coding RNA NONPTRT011455". The record is from RNAcentral. Lineage: Eukaryota; Metazoa; Chordata; Mammalia; Primates; Hominidae.
CCGGAACCGCUUUUGUGGUCUCCGAGACACUCAUUUGCUGUCCUGGUUUCCAAAGCUCCACGUGCUCAGCGCCGAAAACUUGCAAAUCAUUUGCUGUCUAUACUGGGCGCCCGCUGCGUGCCAGGUACUGCCACCGGCUCUCUCCUCACGGUGGAAUAACUUAACAGAGAAGACAGACAUCAAUCAAAUACCCUGGAAACGUGGAAGGCAGGGGAAAGAACAAAGGGAGAGCAAAAUCGCCCCAAUCCCACAUCACCCGCGACGUGAAAGGAUUUGUCCUUCCAGCUGCGGGACUCCUAUUUGUUUCUUUCAAGUCAGAGGCCUUCCCUUUAUGCCCACAUCUGUUCCCGACCCUCUCCUCUGAUUUUCCUCACAUGUAUUUCCUCCCCUCUUCAGCCCCGCGCCAGCUCCAGGCACAGCCGUUCAGGGUGAUGCCAAAGGGAAAUGAGAACGCCUGGUUUCGAGUGCCAGCCUGAGGCCCCUUAAGCCCUAGGUACGCAGCUCUCUCUUCUUUCUUAAACUUUCCAGCCCAGGAAAAUCACCCUUCGGUUUUACAGAUGCGAUAGGGCGUUAUUGUGAUUCCUUCAUUCACGUAAACAUGAAUUGAGUGUCUAGUGGG